CCCAAGUGCGCCCGGCUAGUAAGUACCCCGCAUCGGUUAAGUCAGGGAACAAUUAACACCUGGAACUGGCGCGAACGGCUUGAUAAAUCUACCCCUCAGUGUCUCAGUUUUCCUUUCUUUCCUU
Molecule: long non-coding RNA, 124 nt
Organism: Etheostoma cragini (Arkansas darter)
Lineage: Eukaryota; Metazoa; Chordata; Actinopteri; Perciformes; Percidae
Exons: 3
Source: RefSeq, a predicted model, not a curated record